Molecule: ribosomal RNA, 465 nt
Filed under: uncultured bacterium
Lineage: Bacteria
Description: partial 16S ribosomal RNA
Rfam family: Bacterial small subunit ribosomal RNA
Source: RNAcentral
GACGAACGCUGGCGGCGUGCUUAACACAUGCAAGUCGAACGGAAAGGCCCUGCUUGCAGGGUACUCGAGUGGGGCAAGGGUGAGUAACACGUGGGAGUACUGCCCUGCACUUCGGGAUAAGCCUGGGAAACUGGGUGUAAUACAGGAUAGGAGCCAUCUUGCGUGUGAUGGUUGGAAAGUUUUUUUGGUGUGGGGUGAGCUCGCGGCCUAUCAGGUUGGUGGUGGGGUGAUGGCCUACCAAGGGGGCGACGGGUAGCCGGCCUGGGUGGGGGGACGGCCACAAUUGGGCCUGGGAUCGGCCCCGACUCCUACGGGGGGCAGGCGGGGGGGAAUUUUCCAAAAUGGCGCAAGCCCGAUUCAGGGACGCCGGGGUGCGGGAUACGGCCUUCGGGUUUGAAACCCGUUUCGCUAUGUACGAAGCUGUUAGUGACGGUACCUAGAUAAGAAGCACCGGCUAACUACGUG